UUUUUUACUCUUACGGGAGGCAGCAGUGGGGAAUAUUGCACAAUGGGGGAAACCCUGAUGCAGCCAUGCCGCGUGUGUGAAGAAGGCCUUCGGGUUGUAAAGCACUUUUCAGCGAGGAGGAAAGGGUGUAAGUUAAUACCUUACAUCUGUGACGUUACUCGCAGAAGAAGCACCGGCUAACUCCGUGCCAGCAGCCGCGGUAAUACGGAGGGUGCGAGCGUUAAUCGGAAUUACUGGGCGUAAAGCGUGCGCAGGCGGUUUGUUAAGCGAGAUGUGAAAGCCCCGGGCUCAACCUGGGAACCGCAUUUCGAACUGGCAAACUAGAAGUCUUGUAGAGGGGGGUAGAAUUCCAGGUGUAGCGGUGAAAUGCGUAGAGAUCUGGAGGAAUACCGGUGGCGAAGGCGGCCCCCUGGACAAAGACUGACGCUCAGGCACGAAAGCGUGGGGAGCAAACAGGAUUAGAUACCCUGGUAGUCCACGCCGUAAACGAUGUCUACUCGGAGUUUGGUGUCUUGAACACUGGGCUCUCAAGCUAACGCAUUAAGUAGACCGCCUGGGGAGUACGGCCGCAAGGUUAAAACUCAAAUGAAUUGACGGGGGCCCGCACAAGCGGUGGAGCAUGUGGUUUAAUUCGAUGCAACGCGAAGAACCUUACCUACUCUUGACAUCCACAGAAUCUGGUAGAGAUACCUCAGUGCCUUCGGGAACUGUGAGACAGGUGCUGCAUGG
Molecule: ribosomal RNA, 729 nt
Filed under: Shewanella algae
Lineage: Bacteria; Pseudomonadati; Pseudomonadota; Gammaproteobacteria; Alteromonadales; Shewanellaceae
Description: bacterial SSU rRNA
Rfam family: Bacterial small subunit ribosomal RNA
Source: RNAcentral